GCUUAMACAUGGASUSNCGCGAGAAAGGGGAUUCGGUCCUGAGUAGAGCGGCGCACGGSUGAGUAACGCGUGGAUUAUCUACCCAGACGUUCGGGAUAACGGCGGGAAACUGCCGCUAAUACCGGMAUACGCUCCAAUUUCGGUUGGGGGAAAGGCGGCCUCUGCUUGCAAGCUGUCGCAUCUGGAUGAGUCCGCGUCCCAUUAGCUUGUUGGUGGKGUAAUGGCCUACCAAGGCUACGAUGGGUAGCUGGUCUGAGAGGAUGAUCAGCCACACUGGAACUGAGAUACGGCCCAGACUCCUACGGGAGGCAGCAGUGGGGAAUAUUGCGCAAUGGGCGAAAGCCUGACGCAGCAACGCCGCGUGCGGGAUGACGGCCUUCGGGUUGUAAACCGCUUUCAGCAGGGACGAAGGGUUUCUGACGGUACCUGCAGAAGAAGCACCGGCUAACUACGUGCCAGCAGCCGCGGUGAUACGUAGGGUGCGAGCGUUGUCCGGAAUUAUUGGGCGUAAAGAGCUGGUAGGCGGUCCGUUGCGUCGGAAGUGAAAACUCGGGGCUUAACCCCGAGCCUGCUUUCGAUACGGGCGGACUUGAGGGAUGUAGGGGAGAACGGAAUUCCUGGUGGAGCGGUGGAAUGCGCAGAUAUCAGGAGGAACACCAGUGGCGAAGGCGGUUCUCUGGACAUUUCCUGACGCUGAGAAGCGAAAGCGUGGGGAGCAAACAGGCUUAGAUACCCUGGUAGUCCACGCCGUAAACGGUGGGCACUAGGUGUGGGACCCAUUCCACGGGUUCCGUGCCGUAGCUAACGCAUUAAGUGCCCCGCCUGGGGAGUACGGCCGCAAGGCUAAAACUCAAAGGAAUUGACGGGGCCCCGCACAAGCGGCGGAGCAUGCGGAUUAAUUCGAUGCAACGCGAAGAACCUUACCUGGGUUUGACAUAUAUCGGAAACGUUCAGAGAUGGGCGCCCCGUAAGGUCGGUAUACAGGUGGUGCAUGGCUGUCGUCAGCUCGUGUCGUGAGAUGUUGGGUUAAGUCCCGCAACGAGCGCAACCCUCGUCCAAUGUUGCCAGCGGGUUAUGCCGGGGACUCAUUGGAGACCGCCGGGGUCAACUCGGAGGAAGGUGGGGAUGACGUCAAGUCAUCAUGCCCCUUAUGUCCAGGGCUUCACGCAUGCUACAAUGGCUGGUACAAAGGGCUGCAAUAUCGCCAAGAUGGAGCGAAUCCCAUAAAGCCAGUCUCAGUUCGGAUUGGGGUCUGCAACUCGACCCCAUGAAGUCGGAGUCGCUAGUAAUCGCAGAUCAGCAACGCUGCGGUGAAUACGUUCCCGGGCCUUGUACACACCGCCCGUCAAGUCAUGUAAAGUCGGUAACACCCGAAGCCGGUGGCCUAACCCUUGUGGGUAGGUACUGUCGAAGGUGGGACCCGUAAUUUAG
This 1431-nucleotide ribosomal RNA is filed under the name uncultured bacterium. RNAcentral's name for it is "bacterial SSU rRNA". It matches the Rfam family "Bacterial small subunit ribosomal RNA". The record is from RNAcentral.